CUGGGAUCCUGCAACUGCAAUCGCGAUGGGGCUGAAACAAUUUGAUGUUAUAAUUGACUUUGAACUAGAUUAGACGGUCUAGUAAGUCAAAUAGUAGUGAUAAAAAUAAAAAACUAAUGUAACGGCAAAAACAAAAAUUGUACUAUAGUAUCUGGUAAGUACUACUGUACUGUCUAUACGGUAGCCGUCAAAAAUAAAUUGAUACAUGAUGAUGAUGCAUCAUGGUACCGCCGAAUUAGCGGUGAGUUAGUUAGUUCAAAUAACGUUACAGGACAGGAGCUUCGAUAGAUUAGAUAUGCCCGAGAAAUACGUGACAAUAUUGGAUUGGAUGUCGUCACUCACAAUGUCGUCACUCACAACUUUACGCCACAAAUUCCCCAAUACGUGACAACUUUUUGAAAUAGAUUACAUUUUUUUCGUGUAUUUUCUUUGUGACUUCUUUGUUUCAGUAUGGCAUUAUUUGAUUUUUCAUCUUAGUGCGAUGUUCUUUCGAUCCCACGUCUUGUU
RNAcentral lists this long non-coding RNA (507 nucleotides) under Trifolium pratense (red clover). RNAcentral describes it as "long non-coding RNA (TPRA_LNC008054)". Lineage: Eukaryota; Viridiplantae; Streptophyta; Magnoliopsida; Fabales; Fabaceae. The record is from RNAcentral.